RNAcentral lists this ribosomal RNA (690 nucleotides) under uncultured fungus. RNAcentral's name for it is "eukaryotic LSU rRNA". The stretch from base 254 to 407 matches the Rfam family "5.8S ribosomal RNA". Lineage: Eukaryota; Fungi. The record is from RNAcentral.
UCCGUAGGUGAACCUGCGGAAGGAUCAUUACUGAAGUGAUUUGGGGAUGUUGCUGGCCUCUCUUGGGGGGCAAUGUGCACUCUCCAAAAACAAUUCACAAUUUCCAUCACACCCCUUGUGCACAUCCUGUAGGGCGAUGCCACCCCUCUCAAAGUGGGGCUGUUGUCCUAUGUAUUCUCUCAUCUAACACAUAUUGAAUGGUGCUCUUGGAUGCAUCUUGUGGAUUAUCUGUAACAAAGUAAUCAUAUAAAGCAACUUUCAACAAUGGAUCUCUUGGCUCUCGCAUCGAUGAAGAACGCAGCGAAAUGCGAUACGUAAUGUGAAUUGCAGAAUUCCGUGAAUCAUCGAAUCUUUGAACGCACCUUGCGCCUCUUGGUAUUCCGAGGGGCAUGCCUGUUUGAGUGUCAUGUAAAACCAUCAAUGAGGACCUUUCUUUUCAAAGAGAGAGGCUUUCUUCUUGGAAUAUGGAGCGUGCUGGCUUGAUCAGCUCCUCUGAAAUGCAUUAGCGAUGUGGUGUUCCACCUGCUUGAGCUUCAAUUGGCAUUGAUAGUCAUUCAUGUCAGAGUUGUUCAGCUGUGGAAAGGUUCACUUGCUCCUUAAUUGUGAUGGACUCUCUCCAUCCUUUGACCCAUAUAACCUCAAAUCAGGCAGGACUACCCGCUGAACUUAAGCAUAUCAAUAAGCGGAGGA